RNAcentral lists this non-coding RNA (45 nucleotides) under Schistosoma margrebowiei. The record is from RNAcentral. Lineage: Eukaryota; Metazoa; Platyhelminthes; Trematoda; Strigeidida; Schistosomatidae.
AUUCAGCUGACGAGUCCCAAACAGGACGAAACGCGAGUCCUGGAU